CCUACGGGAGGCAGCAGUAGGGAAUAUUGCUCAAUGGGGGAAACCCUGAAGCAGCAACGCCGCGUGGAGGAUGAAGGUUUUCGGAUUGUAAACUCCUUUUGUUAGAGAAGAUAAUGACGGUAUCUAACGAAUAAGCACCGGCUAACUCCGUGCCAGCAGCCGCGGUAAUACGGAGGGUGCAAGCGUUACUCGGAAUCACUGGGCGUAAAGGGCGCGUAGGCGGGAUAGCAAGUCAGAUGUGAAAUCCUAUGGCUUAACCAUAGAACUGCAUUUGAAACUGUUAUUCUAGAGUAUGGGAGAGGUAGGUGGAAUUCUUGGUGUAGGGGUAAAAUCCGUAGAGAUCAAGAGGAAUUCUCAUUGCGAAGGCGACCUGCUAGAACAUAACUGACGCUGAUGCGCGAAAGCGUGGGGAGCAAACAGGAUUAGAUACCCGAGUAGUC
RNAcentral lists this ribosomal RNA (440 nucleotides) under uncultured bacterium. RNAcentral describes it as "partial 16S ribosomal RNA". It matches the Rfam family "Bacterial small subunit ribosomal RNA", at positions 338 to 795 of the family's 1533-position model. The record is from RNAcentral.